GCCUCGGUGAUGAAAUUGGUAGACUUGCUAGACUCAAAAUCUUGUGUGCUCACGCACGUGCCGGUUCGAGUCCGGCCCGAGGCACCA
Molecule: transfer RNA, 87 nt
Filed under: Bdellovibrio sp.
Lineage: Bacteria; Pseudomonadati; Bdellovibrionota; Bdellovibrionia; Bdellovibrionales; Pseudobdellovibrionaceae
Also listed under: 2 other names
Description: tRNA-Leu
Rfam family: tRNA
About the family: Transfer RNA (tRNA) molecules are approximately 80 nucleotides in length. Their secondary structure includes four short double-helical elements and three loops (D, anti-codon, and T loops). Further hydrogen bonds mediate the characteristic L-shaped molecular structure. tRNAs have two regions of fundamental functional importance: the anti-codon, which is responsible for specific mRNA codon recognition, and the 3' end, to which the tRNAs corresponding amino acid is attached (by aminoacyl-tRNA synthetases). tRNAs cope with the degeneracy of the genetic code in two manners: having more than one tRNA (with a specific anti-codon) for a particular amino acid; and 'wobble' base-pairing, i.e. permitting non-standard base-pairing at the 3rd anti-codon position.
Source: RNAcentral